GACGAACGCUGGCGGCGUGCCUAAUACAUGCAAGUAGAACGCUGAAGAGAGGAGCUUGCUCUUCUUGGAUGAGUUGCGAACGGGUGAGUAAUGCGUAGGUAACCUGCCUUGUAGCGGGGGAUAACUAUUGGAAACGAUAGCUAAUACCGCAUAACAAUGGAUGACACAUGUCAUUUAUUUGAAAGGGGCAAUUGCUCCACUACAAGAUGGACCUGCGUUGUAUUAGCUAGUAGGUGAGGUAACGGCUCACCUAGGCGACGAUACAUAGCCGACCUGAGAGGGUGAUCGGCCACACUGGGACUGAGACACGGCCCAGACUCCUACGGGAGGCAGCAGUAGGGAAUCUUCGGCAAUGGGGGCAACCCUGACCGAGCAACGCCGCGUGAGUGAAGAAGGUUUUCGGAUCGUAAAGCUCUGUUGUAAGUCAAGAACGAGUGUGAGAGUGGAAAGUUCACACUGUGACGGUAGCUUACCAGAAAGGGACGGCUAACUACGUG
This 497-nucleotide ribosomal RNA is filed under the name uncultured bacterium. RNAcentral describes it as "partial 16S ribosomal RNA". It matches the Rfam family "Bacterial small subunit ribosomal RNA", at positions 28 to 507 of the family's 1533-position model. The record is from RNAcentral.